Molecule: transfer RNA, 76 nt
Filed under: Muricoccus roseus
Lineage: Bacteria; Pseudomonadati; Pseudomonadota; Alphaproteobacteria; Acetobacterales; Roseomonadaceae
Also listed under: 12 other names
Description: Roseomonas rosea tRNA_Glu_TTC
Rfam family: tRNA
About the family: Transfer RNA (tRNA) molecules are approximately 80 nucleotides in length.
Source: RNAcentral
GUCCCGUUCGUCUAGAGGCCUAGGACGCGGCCCUUUCAAGGCUGCAACACGGGUUCGAAUCCCGUACGGGACGCCA